Molecule: long non-coding RNA, 310 nt
Filed under: Zostera marina
Lineage: Eukaryota; Viridiplantae; Streptophyta; Magnoliopsida; Alismatales; Zosteraceae
Description: long non-coding RNA (ZMAR_LNC000309)
Source: RNAcentral
GUGAACCUCACCUACGGAAACGUAGUGUUAGACGAGGGAUAUACUCAAAAGUGAACCCCACCUAUGGAAGAACGUAGGUUAGACGGGGAACACAGCGGCAGGAGUGAACCCCACCUACGGAAGAACGUAGGUUAGACGGGGAACACAGCGGCACAAAAGUAAACCCCACCUACGGAGGAACGUAGGUUAGACGGGGAACACGUCGGCUAAACACACACCCCAUUCUACAAAAAUGUAGACAGAGGGGCAAGCAUCCAAGAGUAAACCUCACCUACGGAAGAACGUAGGUUAGACGAGGGACGUACUCAAG